UACGGAGGGUGCGAGCGUUGUCCGGAAUCAUUGGGCGUAAAGGGCGCGUAGGUGGCCCGGUGAGUCUUUGGUGAAAGCGCGGGGCUCAACCCUGCGUCGGCCAGGGAUACUGCCGCGGCUCGAGCACUGUAGAGGCAGGCGGAAUUCCGGGUGUAGCGGUGGAAUGCGUAGAGAUCCGGAAGAACACCGGUGGCGAAGGCGGCCUGCUGGGCAGUUUUGCUGACACUGAGGCGCGACAGCGUGGGGAGCAAACAGG
This 256-nucleotide ribosomal RNA is filed under the name uncultured bacterium. RNAcentral describes it as "partial 16S ribosomal RNA". It matches the Rfam family "Bacterial small subunit ribosomal RNA", at positions 524 to 776 of the family's 1533-position model. The record is from RNAcentral.